UCUUCUCCGUUUACUCGGUUUGCCAAGCGUCCAUCUUUGCAAUUUCCGCACCGACCACCGUUGGAACAGUCUGGGAUCCAUCACCGACCACGGUUCGAAGCUGGAAUUGACCUCCAGAUCCGGAGAAAAAAAUCCGUCUCGAUGGCGCCAUAAAUGAUGAUGGUGCUCGUGUGCCAUUGGGGGAUCAAAUAUCUCUUCGACAAGUGUUAAUCCUUACGGACAGAGGAAGCACCACAACACUUCUUCUCCAAAGCCGACAUGGCCAGAUACCCCUGGAGAAGCACCGACGGCGCAUAUCACGAACAGUACGCCUUGCAAAA
Molecule: long non-coding RNA, 320 nt
Filed under: Brachypodium distachyon (stiff brome)
Lineage: Eukaryota; Viridiplantae; Streptophyta; Magnoliopsida; Poales; Poaceae
Description: long non-coding RNA (BDIS_LNC003821)
Source: RNAcentral